GACGAACGCUGGCGGCGUGCCUAAUACAUGCAAGUUGAGCGAUGAAGAUUGGUGCUUGCACCAAUUUGAAGAGCAGCGAACGGGUGAGUAACGCGUGGGGAAUCUGCCUUUGAGCGGGGGACAACAUUUGGAAACGAAUGCUAAUACCGCAUAACAACUUUAAACAUAAGUUUUAAGUUUGAAAGAUGCAAUUGCAUCACUCAAAGAUGAUCCCGCGUUGUAUUAGCUAGUUGGUGAGGUAAAGGCUCACCAAGGCGAUGAUACAUAGCCGACCUGAGAGGGUGAUCGGCCACAUUGGGACUGAGACACAGCCCAAACUCCUACGGGAGGCAGCAGUAGGGAAUCUUCGGCAAUGGACGAAAGUCUGACCGAGCAACGCCGCGUGAGUGAAGAAGGUUUUCGGAUCGUAAAACUCUGUUGGUAGAGAAGAACGUUGGUGAGAGUGGAAAGCUCAUCAAGUGACGGUAACUACCCAGAAAGGGACGGCUAACUACGUG
RNAcentral lists this ribosomal RNA (497 nucleotides) under uncultured bacterium. RNAcentral's name for it is "partial 16S ribosomal RNA". It matches the Rfam family "Bacterial small subunit ribosomal RNA", at positions 28 to 507 of the family's 1533-position model. The record is from RNAcentral.